Molecule: ribosomal RNA, 164 nt
Filed under: uncultured bacterium
Lineage: Bacteria
Description: partial 16S rRNA
Rfam family: Bacterial small subunit ribosomal RNA
Source: RNAcentral
UAGGGAAUCUUCCACAAUGGACGAAAGUCUGAUGGAGCAACGCCGCGUGAGUGAAGAAGGGUUUCGGCUCGUAAAACUCUGUUGUUAAAGAAGAACAUAUCUGAGAGUAACUGUUCAGGUAUUGACGGUACUUAACCAGAAAGCCACGGCUAACUACGUGCCAC